UGAGGGUGCCGUAGAAGCCCAUGGUGUCGGCGCGCUUCCCCUUGCGCGGCUGCGGUGCACCGCGGGCCCGGCGGCCGGGCAGGCGCUGGCAGUACAGCCCCUUCUCCGGCAGGUGCUUCCAGCCUAGAAACCAUACAACAGCUUGCCUGCCUCUACGAGAAACACAGCACUGCAUAAUUUAGGAAGGUAGACAGCUGGCUGUACUGUGUUGCACUCCAAAAAGAGCUAGAGAAAUGCGAAUAGUGAGCUGAGUUAGCUGUACACAGACUAAAUGUGAGAAAGAGAAAAGAGGAAGACUCAGCCAAAGCCUGCAUUGAUCUAAAGCAUGGGUCAACAGUUCCAAGACAUGAAAAAUCCAAUUCAUUUCCCAU
Molecule: long non-coding RNA, 371 nt
Organism: Pezoporus flaviventris
Lineage: Eukaryota; Metazoa; Chordata; Aves; Psittaciformes; Psittacidae
Exons: 3
Source: RefSeq, a predicted model, not a curated record